Molecule: non-coding RNA, 537 nt
Organism: Vicia faba (fava bean)
Lineage: Eukaryota; Viridiplantae; Streptophyta; Magnoliopsida; Fabales; Fabaceae
Source: the annotation of a GenBank genome assembly
AUGGGGAAUAAAGGCUUUGUUCUUAUAAGAGAAAAAACUCGUGAAAGUAAUGAAGAUAAAGAACCUCCGACUCAAGCUGAAAUGUUCAUUGCUACUCGAGAAAGUAGGAAAGGAAAGGAGUUGAAUCAAGAAACCAAUCAUGUAAUUGUAAAAGCUUUUGAAAGUGUAUUGGGCAAACAAAAACCUGGGAGAGUGUCUUUCCACGGAAGAAUCACAAGACUGACUCUCUUGAAAAGAAAUGAAGAAAUUGUAAAACUUAAAAGAGAUCAUGAUGCUGAGGUUAAGCAUGUGAUACAAGAGAUGGAGGAGAAACAUUGUCAAGAGGAGGAAACAGAAAGAAGAAUUCAACUUCUUCUUAAGACCGUUCUGAAUCAAAACACCUCAGAUUUGGAUAUAGAGGCUUUGGCAGCUUUUAUAUCAGCUCCUACAACUGAUGCUAAUAGUGUCUUACAUUCUUCUACGUCAACACAUGCUCUAACUAAUGAUCAAGUUUUUCUAGUGAUUCAAGAUGUUAUAUUGAUUAGGAUGAUGAUUAAC